Molecule: ribosomal RNA, 711 nt
Filed under: Syncephalis parvula
Lineage: Eukaryota; Fungi; Zoopagomycota; Zoopagomycetes; Zoopagales; Piptocephalidaceae
Description: eukaryotic LSU rRNA
Rfam family: Eukaryotic large subunit ribosomal RNA
Source: RNAcentral
GCGCCGGUCCCGCGUUGUAGAUUGAUGGGGCGUUGCCUAGCGGCAGACCUUUCGGCCAAAGUCUCUUGGAACAGAGCGUCAUAGAGGGUGACAACCCCGUGUGUGGCCGGACGACAUUACAGUCUGUUGCGUCGAUGGCGCGUUUCCUUAGAGUCGGAGUGUUUGGGAUUGCAUUCCAAAGCGGGUGGUAAACUCCAUCUAAGGCUAAAUACUGGCGAGAGACCGAUAGCGAACAAGUACCGUGAGGGAAAGUUGAAAAGCACUCUGGAGAGAGAGUCAAACAGUACGUGAAAUUGCUAGCAGGGAAACGUUGGGCACCAGUACGCGGCAAUCAAUGUCGAUGAUCAGUCGGCCGGCGCGGCGGCUAUUGCGCGGAGCUUCCGCUUCAGAGACAGCCCCAGGGCUGCUCACGCGUAGUAGCCGGCCGUGCGGGCCGGUGCGCUCUUCGACAGCCGGGUCAACAUCGGUUGCUGGCGUCCGAUAAGCAGCACGGCAAGGUAGCAGGGUGGCGAUCUUUACGGCCGUCACUCUGAACUUAUAGGCCGGGCAGAGCGAGGACGGCGGCGACCGAGGAGGCAUUGCGGCUCGCGCGCCUUUCGGGGUGCAGGGCGUGCUGGCAGGGUUGUGGUUGCCCGUGGCGCUGGACAGCUUGCUGACCAGGGUUUACUUUGGUGCGCUUCGGCGCAUCAGCGGCGGCCGCCUUGUCGGUAC